CAGAUAGACCUGAGCUAGCACAUUAGCAUGUUCGGUCACCUCUCCAAGUAAUACUUUAUACUGCCCUGGGACUCUGUAGAGAGUCCCUACCAGCAAGAAGGCUCUCACCAGAUGUGGCCCCUCGACCUUGGAUGUAGCCUCCAGAAUUACUCUAGAAGUAAGGAACCAAGCGCCUCACUGGUGGUGUGGAAGAACUGGGAUUCCCCACAGUGCAGUGGAAAUUCCUGGGAGUCUCGAACCACAUAUUUUCCAUCGACUACAUCCAAAGCUCUGCAAAGAACGGAACCACAGUCAUGUCAAUACACUAUGAACAAUGCCAAAAUCUCAAGAAACCCAAAGGCAUAUUUCUCCAUGUAUUAAUAUAUUUCCAGUCAGCCCAAAUAAUGAAUCAUUCUUCAAAACCUACACGGCGUUGUAGAUAAUUUGGCGCUCUCAUAGCACAUUUAUAAAUAAACCUGGAUGACUUCACCCUGUGCCUAACUGAAUUCUUUUAAAUCCUAUGCAGAAAACAAAUUAGAGAUAGAUAGAGGUAGACAGAAACUAGAUGGAGAGACAGAUUUUGGCAUGAAAGUAAUCCAAUUUCAUUUUCCAGUUUCCUGGUUGUUCUAUGUCGUGGCUUUUAAGAAAUAACAAAAAGAAAUUUGUAAGUUUCCUGAACACUGGAAAUAAAGUGGGAACUGAAUCCCAGUUAGAGAAACAAUCUAGACUAUGCCAGGAAAUGGGAACUGUUCCUAGGAUUAUAAUAUUUAUCAGAUUCAAAAGGAAUGGAAACUAAUAAAGGCAGAAAGAAUGUUUUACAGACUCUGAUGGUUGCCUACCCCAAAGCCAUUCCCUUUAUCCAACCCUUCACUGUUCUCCCACCUCCCCCAUACACACUGCCUUUGCUAAUAAUCCUAAAUUUGUUCAGCAAUUCAUCCUCCAUAUGCCUCAGAGAAAGCUGCUCCCAGCCCCAGUAGUCAGUCGGGAUUGCUCUAACCCUGGUGUCCAGUUUCCCUCACCAGUAACUGAUUUAGGCAAAUGCCCAUAUGUAACUGUCUUGCUUAUGUUACCACAUUGAUUGAUGUCUCCCUGACCCUCUAAAAUGUUCAUACUUUGCCCUGCUUCUCUGGCCCAGUCCUGACCAAUGGGAUGUGAGAGGCGUCUGCUGAAGAAAUGGGGGAAAAGGUCUUCUACAAGAAGAGAAAGUUUCCCUUUCCUGCAGGCCAGUGUCAUGCCUGCAUGUGAUGAAUAUGAUAGAACAUCUUGGGACCAUGUGCAGGAUUAGCCUAAGGAGACUAGAUUGAGGAAAAAGCAGAGAGGAAAUACCUAUCUCUUGAUUUCUUGAAAUGAGAAGCAGAAUUACCUAUCUCUGGAGUUCUUGUUGUGUUAGAUAAUAAACGUCCUAUUCUUC
RNAcentral lists this long non-coding RNA (1390 nucleotides) under Homo sapiens (human). RNAcentral describes it as "HSALNT0110993". Lineage: Eukaryota; Metazoa; Chordata; Mammalia; Primates; Hominidae. The record is from RNAcentral.